UAAAGAUUCAUCGCUGAUAGAUAGGCAUGCGUUCCAUUAGGCAGUUGGCGGGGUAACGGCCCACCAAACCGACGAUGGAUAGGGGUUCUGAGAGGAAGGUCCCCCACAUUGGUACUGAGACACGGACCAAACUCCUACGGGAGGCAGCGGUGAGGAAUAUUGGUCAAUGGGCGCGAGCCUGAACCAGCCAAGUCGCGUGAGGGAUGAAGGUUCUAUGGAUCGUAAACCUCUUUUAUAAGGGAAUAAAGUGUGGGACGUGUCCUAUUUUGUAUGUACCUUAUGAAUAAGGAUCGGCUAACUCCGUGCCAGCAGCCGCGGUAAUACGGAGGAUCCGAGCGUUAUCCGGAUUUAUUGGGUUUAAAGGGUGCGUAGGCGGCCUUUUAAGUCAGCGGUGAAAGUCUGUGGCUCAACCAUAGAAUUGCCGUUGAAACUGGGGGGCUUGAGUAUGUUUGAGGCAGGCGGAAUGCGUGGUGUAGCGGUGAAAUGCUUAGAUAUCACGCAGAACCCCGAUUGCGAAGGCAGCCUGCCAAGCCAUGACUGACGCUGAUGCACGAAAGCGUGGGGAUCAAACAGGAUUAGAUACCCUGGUAGUCCACGCAGUAAACGAUGAUCACUAGCUGUUUGCGAUACAGUGUAA
RNAcentral lists this ribosomal RNA (637 nucleotides) under uncultured bacterium. RNAcentral's name for it is "bacterial SSU rRNA". It matches the Rfam family "Bacterial small subunit ribosomal RNA", at positions 202 to 842 of the family's 1533-position model. The record is from RNAcentral.